GGGGGUGCACUCGUCUACGUGGAGGGGGAAGCGAGAAACGCGGGUCAGCAUACUGCGGUGAAUACGUUCCCGGGCCUUGUACACACCGCCCGUCACACCAUGGAAGUUGGCCAUGCCCGAAGUCGUUACUCCAACCCUUGUGGAGGAGGACGCCGAAGGUGGGGCUAAUGACUGGGGUGAAGUCGUAACAAGGUAGCCGUACCGGAAGGUGCGGCUGGAUCACCUCCUAA
This 230-nucleotide ribosomal RNA is filed under the name uncultured Prochlorococcus sp. Its description in RNAcentral is "partial 16S ribosomal RNA". It matches the Rfam family "Bacterial small subunit ribosomal RNA", at positions 1301 to 1533 of the family's 1533-position model. Lineage: Bacteria; Bacillati; Cyanobacteriota; Cyanophyceae; Synechococcales; Prochlorococcaceae. The record is from RNAcentral.